CCUGGCGGCAGUAGCGCGGUGGUCCCACCUGACCCCAUGCCGAACUCAGAAGUGAAACGCCGUAGCGCCGA
This 71-nucleotide ribosomal RNA is filed under the name Escherichia coli. RNAcentral also lists the same sequence under 4 other names. Lineage: Bacteria; Pseudomonadati; Pseudomonadota; Gammaproteobacteria; Enterobacterales; Enterobacteriaceae. The record is from RNAcentral.